UACGUAGGGUGCAAGCGUUGUCCGGAAUUAUUGGGCGUAAAGAGUUCGUAGGCGGUUACUUAAGUCUGGUGUUAAAGCCCGAUGCUCAACGUCGGCAUGGCAUUGGAAACUGGGUAGCUAGAGUGUGUCAGAGGUUACGGGAAUUCCUGGUGUAGCGGUGAAAUGCGUAGAUAUCAGGAGGAACACCUGUGGCGAAAGCGCGUAACUGGGGCAUAACUGACGCUGAGGAACGAAAGCCGGGGUAUCCAAAGGG
This 253-nucleotide ribosomal RNA is filed under the name uncultured bacterium. Its description in RNAcentral is "partial 16S ribosomal RNA". It matches the Rfam family "Bacterial small subunit ribosomal RNA", at positions 524 to 776 of the family's 1533-position model. The record is from RNAcentral.